This is a long non-coding RNA of Malaclemys terrapin pileata, 312 nucleotides long. RefSeq lists it as uncharacterized. Lineage: Eukaryota; Metazoa; Chordata; Testudines; Emydidae. The record is from RefSeq and is a predicted model, not a curated record. The transcript is spliced from 3 exons.
CUUGUGGAGGAAUCCCCUUAGUGAAGUGGGCAUAGGAGCACAAGCUAUUCCAGAGAGAGCAGCUGGGGAGCAGGAAGGAUUGAUCCAGGAGACAAAAGAACCAAGUGAGUUGAUCUCUGUGAUGGGUCCUGGCCAGGCUGCUCAGUGAACGCUGAAAAGGAGACUAUAGUCCCAACGCGACCCAAAUAAGAAAUGGGAGGAAAGAAGGAAGAAGCAGAAGAACAUGAGGGGAUAUGGUUGCUGUAUACAAUAAACAUAAUAUAGUGAGUGCACUGUAUUGACAGAUCUUUCUUGCCUUUAACUUGCAUGUGA